This 427-nucleotide ribosomal RNA is filed under the name uncultured Luteolibacter sp. Its description in RNAcentral is "bacterial SSU rRNA". It matches the Rfam family "Bacterial small subunit ribosomal RNA", at positions 355 to 774 of the family's 1533-position model. The record is from RNAcentral. Lineage: Bacteria; Pseudomonadati; Verrucomicrobiota; Verrucomicrobiia; Verrucomicrobiales; Verrucomicrobiaceae.
UCGAGAAUAAUUCACAAUGGGGGCAACCCUGAUGGUGCAACGCCGCGUGGAGGAUGAAGGUCUUCGGAUUGUAAACUCCUGUCAUCUGGGAGUAAGACCUGGCUGUGAAUAGCAGACAGGGUUGAUAGUACCAGAAGAGGAAGGGACGGCUAACUUCGUGCCAGCAGCCGCGGUAAUACGAAGGUCCCGAGCGUUGUUCGGAAUCACUGGGCGUAAAGGGAGCGUAGGCGGCGUGGUAAGUCAGAUGUGAAAUCCCGGGGCUCAACCCCGGAACUGCAUCCGAUACUGCCGUGCUAGAGGAUUGGAGAGGUAGCUGGAAUUCUUGGUGUAGCAGUGAAAUGCGUGGAGAUCAAGAGGAACACUCGUGGCGAAAGCGAGCUACUGGACAAUAUCUGACGCUGAGGCUCGAAGGCCAGGGUAGCGAAAG